AGAUUGCAGUAGAUUAUUCCCUUUCUGUAACUUAUUUCCAUUAUGUAUUGGACCGUUUUGUUUUAACUCUGUAUUAAACUUGUUUCUGUAUUUAGCAAAUUUCCAAUAUUGCUUCUGGAAUUGUAUAUUCGUAUUGAUGGAGAUCCGAUUAUGUCUUGCUAUGGAUUUCAAUUCCCUUCACAUUCUUGAUUCGCAUUGUACCGUGAUAUCAGUCCCUUAA
Non-coding RNA from Vicia faba (fava bean), 220 nucleotides. NCBI's taxonomy places the organism in Eukaryota, Viridiplantae, Streptophyta, Magnoliopsida, Fabales, Fabaceae. The record is from the annotation of a GenBank genome assembly.